RNAcentral lists this ribosomal RNA (253 nucleotides) under uncultured bacterium. RNAcentral's name for it is "partial 16S ribosomal RNA". It matches the Rfam family "Bacterial small subunit ribosomal RNA", at positions 524 to 776 of the family's 1533-position model. The record is from RNAcentral.
UACGUAGGGUGCAAGCGUUGUCCGGAAUUAUUGGGCGUAAAGAGCUCGUAGGCGGUCUGUCGCGUCUACUGUGAAAAUCCAGGGCUCAACCCUGGACCUGCAGUGGGUACGGGCAGACUAGAGUGCGGUAGGGGAGAUCGGAAUUCCUGGUGUAGCGGUGAAAUGCGCAGAUAUCAGGAGGAACACCGGUGGCGAAGGCGGAUCUCUGGGCCGUAACUGACGCUGAGGAGCGAAAGCAUGGGGAGCGAACAGG